GGCCUGCGGGCUGCUUACACAUGCAGUCGAACGGAAACGAUGAAGAGCUUGCUCUUCAGGCGUCGAGUGGUGGACGGGUGAGUAAUGCAUAGGAAUCUGCCCAGUAGCGGGGGACAACUCGAAGAAAUUCGAGCUAAUACCGCAUACGCCCUACGGGGGAAAGCAGGGGAUCUUCGGACCUUGCACUAUUGGAUGAGCCUAUGUCAGAUUAGCUUGUUGGUGGGGUAACGGCCUACCAAGGCGACGAUCUGUAGCUGGUCUGAGAGGACGAUCAGCCACACUGGGACUGAGACACGGCCCAGACUCCUGCGGGAGGCAGCAGUGGGGAAUAUUGCACAAUGGGCGAAAGCCUGAUGCAGCAAUGCCGCGUGUGUGAAGAAGGCCUGCGGGUUGUAAAGCACUUUCAGUAGGGAGGAAAAGCAACAGGUUAAUACCCUGGUGUCUUGACGUUACCUACAGAAGAAGCACCGGCUAACUCUGUGCCAGCAGCCGCGGUAAUACAGAGGGUGCAAGCGUUAAUCGGAAUUACUGGGCGUAAAGCGCGCGUAGGCGGCUUGGUCAGUCGGAUGUGAAAGCCCCGGGCUUAACCUGGGAAUUGCAUUCGAUACUGCUAGGCUAGAGUGUAGUAGAGGGAAGCGGAAUUCCAGGUGUAGCGGUGAAAUGCGUAGAUAUCUGGAGGAACAUCAGUGGCGAAGGCGGCUUCCUGGACUAACACUGACGCUGAGGUGCGAAAGCGUGGGGAGCAAACAGGAUUAGAUACCCUGGUAGUCCACGCCGUAAACGAUGUCAACUAGACGUUGGGGGGUUUAACCCUUUAGUGUCGCAGCUAACGCGAUAAGUUGACCGCCUGGGGAGUACGGGCCGCAAGGUUAAAACUCAAGGAAUUGACGGGGGCCGCACAAGCGGUGGAGCAUGUGUUUAAUUCGAUGCAACGCGAGAACCUUACCUGCCCUUGACAUUGACAGAUCCUGCAGAGAUGCGGGAGUGCUUCGGGCUGGCAAAACAGUGCUGCAUGGCUGUCGUCAGCCUCGUGUCGUGAGAUGUUGGUUAAGUUCCCGCACGAGCGCACCAUUGUUUCCUAGUGCCAUCAUUCAGUGGGAACUCUAGGAGACUGCCGUGACAACGAGAAUGAGCACGUCAGUCAUCAUGGCUAUCGGCAGUACACUGCAAUGCAAUACAAAAGUUGCACCGCCAAGUG
Molecule: ribosomal RNA, 1198 nt
Filed under: uncultured bacterium
Lineage: Bacteria
Description: bacterial SSU rRNA
Rfam family: Bacterial small subunit ribosomal RNA
Source: RNAcentral